RNAcentral lists this ribosomal RNA (253 nucleotides) under uncultured bacterium. Its description in RNAcentral is "partial 16S ribosomal RNA". It matches the Rfam family "Bacterial small subunit ribosomal RNA", at positions 524 to 776 of the family's 1533-position model. The record is from RNAcentral.
UACGUAGGGCGCAAGCGUUAUCCGGAAUUAUUGGGCGUAAAGAGCUCGUAGGCGGUUUGUCGCGUCUGCCGUGAAAGUCCGGGGCUCAACUCCGGAUCUGCGGUGGGUACGGGCAGACUAGAGUGAUGUAGGGGAGACUGGAAUUCCUGGUGUAGCGGUGAAAUGCGCAGAUAUCAGGAGGAACACCGAUGGCGAAGGCAGGUCUCUGGGCAUGACCUGACGCUGAGGAGCGAAAGUGUGGGGAGCGAACAGG